RNAcentral lists this long non-coding RNA (580 nucleotides) under Homo sapiens (human). Its description in RNAcentral is "non-protein coding lnc-KCNA3-2:1". Lineage: Eukaryota; Metazoa; Chordata; Mammalia; Primates; Hominidae. The record is from RNAcentral.
GCGUUUAUUCUGUGCUCCCUGCCGAGGAGAUGUGAGGGAUUUUCUCUUGGGGGAGAAAUCAGUGGUCGAGCGCCUGCCCAGCUCAAAUGCCACCCGGCUCAGAGGGAGGCCUGCGGCCCAGGGAUCCCGGAGGGAGAGCAACGUCACACCUCCUGAGGACAGCCAGGACUCCAGCUUUUGCUGAGCUUUGCAUCUUGCCUCCUUCCUUCAAAAGGCUCCAGGCCCAUGCUCGGCUGUCUUCAAGUCCCGCAUGCCCCUGGCCAGGCACCUCACCGCCCCUCCAGCCCAGCCCAAUCCUAGAGCUCACCUCCAGGACCCAGAGUCUGCCCUUCUGCCCAGAAUGACUCACCAUUAUUUCUAGCUCGAGUGAGAAGACGUGAUGAGGAGUUGGGCUGCCUGUUGGUGCAUCUCAGAUUCCUGCAGCAUCUGAUCAGCUCUGCAAGGAAGAGAGCUUCACGUCUCUGGUCAGAGACACUCUGCAUCAUCUGGUUCUCCUUUGAAUUCUUGGUGAGGUUCUUUGCCUGUCCCAGCAAAGCCGGCUUCUUCACCAACAUCAUGAACAUCAUUGACAUUGUGGCCA